GCGGGGCGUCCGAAGUCGCUGAGCAAACCGCAAGGAGGGCGCUUACCACGGUGGGAUUCAUGACUGGGGUGAAGUCGUAACAAGGUAGCCGUAGGUGAACCUGCAGAAGGAUCA
RNAcentral lists this ribosomal RNA (114 nucleotides) under uncultured eukaryote. RNAcentral describes it as "partial small subunit ribosomal RNA". The record is from RNAcentral.